UGUCAUACCUUGUGGAGGUCACACCUCGAUCCUGAAGGUCAUUGUCUCUAUGAGGCUUAUCCACUGCACUUGGGAGGUACUGCCCCUAUGAUUUACCCAAACAUGAUGAGCUCAACUACACAAUCCCUGAUCAAUCUCGGAGGAAUGCGCUCUCACUCACUCUCC
Molecule: small nuclear RNA, 165 nt
Organism: Mus spicilegus (steppe mouse)
Lineage: Eukaryota; Metazoa; Chordata; Mammalia; Rodentia; Muridae
Gene: U1
Rfam family: U1 spliceosomal RNA
About the family: U1 is a small nuclear RNA (snRNA) component of the spliceosome (involved in pre-mRNA splicing). Its 5' end forms complementary base pairs with the 5' splice junction, thus defining the 5' donor site of an intron.
Source: Ensembl